Ficedula albicollis (Collared flycatcher) is the source of this 126-nucleotide long non-coding RNA. RefSeq lists it as uncharacterized. Lineage: Eukaryota; Metazoa; Chordata; Aves; Passeriformes; Muscicapidae. The record is from RefSeq and is a predicted model, not a curated record. The transcript is spliced from 3 exons.
UGCCAUCAUCAUCCUCGCUGUCCUCAUCGGAUUCGUCGUCUGGAGGCUCCAGUCCGGGAGGUGGGACAGGAAUAAAUACAGCAUGGCUCCUGAAAAAGACGGGGGAACCAACGGCUUGAGUGCAGG